Molecule: ribosomal RNA, 505 nt
Filed under: uncultured bacterium
Lineage: Bacteria
Description: partial 16S ribosomal RNA
Rfam family: Bacterial small subunit ribosomal RNA
Source: RNAcentral
GACGAACGCUGGCGGCGUGCCUAAUACAUGCAAGUAGAACGCACAGUUUAUACCGUAGCUUGCUACACCAUAGACUGUGAGUUGCGAACGGGUGAGUAACGCGUAGGUAACCUGCCUGGUAGCGGGGGAUAACUAUUGGAAACGAUAGCUAAUACCGCAUAAUAUUAAUUAUUGCAUGAUAAUUAAUUGAAAGGUGCAAUUGCACCACUACCAGAUGGACCUGCGUUGUAUUAGCUAGUAGGUGAGGUAACGGCUCACCUAGGCGACGAUACAUAGCCGAACUGAGAGGGUGAUCGGCCACACUGGGACUGAGACACGGCCCAGACUUCUACGGGAGGCAGCAGGAGGGAAUCUUCGGCAAUGGACGAAAGUCUGACCGAGCAACGCCGCGUGAGUGAAGAAGGUUUUCGGACCGUAAAGCUCUGUUGUAAGAGAAGAACGGGUGUGAGAGUGGAAAGUUCACACUGUGACGGUAUCUUACCAGAAAGGGACGGCUAACUACGUG